UACGAAGGGGGCUAGCGUUGCUCGGAAUUACUGGGCGUAAAGCGUGCGCAGGCGGUUAUGUAAGACAGAUGUGAAAUCCCCGGGCUCAACCUGGGAACUGCAUUUGUGACUGCAUAGCUAGAGUACGGUAGAGGGGGAUGGAAUUCCGCGUGUAGCAGUGAAAUGCGUAGAUAUGCGGAGGAACACCGAUGGCGAAGGCAAUCCCCUGGACCUGUACUGACGCUCAUGCACGAAAGCGUGGGGAGCAAACAGG
RNAcentral lists this ribosomal RNA (253 nucleotides) under uncultured bacterium. RNAcentral's name for it is "partial 16S ribosomal RNA". It matches the Rfam family "Bacterial small subunit ribosomal RNA", at positions 524 to 776 of the family's 1533-position model. The record is from RNAcentral.